UUUCCGUAGGUGAACCUGCGGAAGGAUCAUUACCGAGUGCGGGCUUUGCCUUCGAGCAGCCCAACCUCCCACCCGUGACUAUCGUACCGUACGUUGCUUCGGCGCGGCCGCCGCGCCCGCCGGAGACACUUUGAAUGCUGUUCUAUUGAAAGGGAAUUGCAGUCUGAGUCGACCAACGAAAAAAUUGGUUAAAACUUUCAACAACGGAUCUCUUGGUUCCG
This 221-nucleotide unclassified non-coding RNA is filed under the name soil metagenome. Its description in RNAcentral is "partial contains small subunit ribosomal RNA, internal transcribed spacer 1, and 5.8S ribosomal RNA". The record is from RNAcentral.